This 494-nucleotide ribosomal RNA is filed under the name uncultured bacterium. Its description in RNAcentral is "partial 16S ribosomal RNA". It matches the Rfam family "Bacterial small subunit ribosomal RNA", at positions 28 to 507 of the family's 1533-position model. The record is from RNAcentral.
GACGAACGCUGGCGGCGUGCUUAACACAUGCAAGUCGAACGGUGAAGCGCCUUCCUUUUUGGUGGGUGUGGAUGAGUGGCGAACGGGUGAGUAACACGUGAGUAACCUGCCCCCUUCUUCUGGAUAACCGCAUGAAAGUGUGGCUAAUACGGGAUAUUCUGGGUCUGUCGCAUGAUGGGUCUGGGAAAGAUAUUGUUUCGGUGGGGGAUGGGCUCGCGGCCUAUCAGCUUGUUGGUGGGGUGAUGGCCUACCAAGGCGGUGACGGGUAGCCGGCCUGAGAGGGUGGACGGUCACACCGGGACUGAGACACGGCCCAGACUCCUACGGGAGGCAGCAGUGGGGAAUAUUGCACAAUGGGCGCAAGCCUGAUGCAGCGACGCCGCGUGAGGGAUGGAGGCCUUCGGGUUGUGAACCUCUUUCGCCAGUGAAGCAGGCCUGCCUCGUUUGUGGGUGGGUUGACGGUAGCUGGAGAAGAAGCGCCGGCUAACUACGUG